RNAcentral lists this ribosomal RNA (1413 nucleotides) under Triticum aestivum (bread wheat). RNAcentral's name for it is "partial small subunit ribosomal RNA". Lineage: Eukaryota; Viridiplantae; Streptophyta; Magnoliopsida; Poales; Poaceae. The record is from RNAcentral.
AUGGCGUCGUCCCGUAGAGUUCUUCCUGAUCUUGCUCUUCUUGUGGUGCUUCUGGUGUCAAUGGCAGCAGGUGUUGCAAUGGGUAGGCCGGCUAGAAGUGACUUGGGCCUGGGUUUAGGUGGUGGGCUAGGCAUAGGGCUUGAUCUUGGGCUCGGUGGAUCCGGUUCGGCCUCUGGUUCGGGCCAGGGGUCGGGUUACAGUGCUUGGUCGGGUCAGAACGGUGGUUCUCAUGCCGCGUCCGGCCGUGGGUCGGGCACCGGCUCCGGUUAUGGGUAUGGCUCUGGCUCUACAAAUGGGGGCUCGGCUUCCGGUUGCGGUUCGGGUACGUCGUCUUGCUCGGGUUCGGGUUCUGGCUCCGGUUCUGUAGGUUUGGGUACAUCGAUCAAUGUCGGUGUUGGUGUCGGUGUCGGCUCGAAUAGCGGGGCGAACGGUGGUCCCGACUGUAACACAGGUCCCGGGUCGAACUAUGGAUCCGGAGUGGGUACGGGUUCGGGCUUUGGGUCCGGGUCUAGUGGAGGUUCAUACCCCUCGCAUGAUUGUGAGUCAUCUGGUAUUGGGUCGGGUUCAGGUGUAUCGUCUGGGUAUGGUGGUGGGUCGAAUGUUGGGUCAAGUGGUGGGUGCUCAUCUUGUGGUUCCGGCUAUGGUGUUGUUGUUGGUGGCUCCUCGUCGAAUUCGAAUUCGGGCGCUGGUUCGGGCUCCAACUCCUAUGGAGGGUCAAACGCCGGUUCUUACUCGAAUUCUGGAGCUGGUUCCGGCUCAAGCGUAGGCUCGGGAUUUGAUUCCUCUCGCUCAGGUUCAAGUUCAUCUUCUGGGUCAGGUGCGGCUUCAUUCGGUGGAUCACGUGGCGGUUCAAACUCCAAUUCUGGUUCUACGUCGGGUGCAAACUCAGGGUCAAACUCUGGUGCGUUCGGUGCAUCAGGUAGUGGAUCAAACUCCAUGUCGGGUGCAAACUCGGGUGCGUUCGGUGCAUCAGGCGGUGGAUCAAACUCCAUGUCGGGUUCAGGGUCAAGCUCUAGCUCCGGCUCUAUGUCGGGUGCAAACUCUGAUGCUGGUUCGAGCUCUGGUGCGUUCGGUGCAUCAGGCAGUGGGUCAAACUCCAUGUCGGGUUCAGGUUCAGGUUCAGGGUCAGGCUCCAACUCUGCAUCCGACUCAAGCUCAGGGUCUACGGGAUUUGGUUCUAGCGCGGGCGCCGGUUCUAGCUCGACCGCCUGGUCCGGCGCCGGUUCAGGUCCGAACCCUGGCUCGUUCUCCGGAGCAGGAUCCUCCAGCUGGUCCAGCUCGACGUCCGGCUCAACCUCGGGAGCAGGGUUCGGUCCCGGGGCACGGCCGGGCUUCGGCGUGGGCGGAGGAGGAGCAGGGUACGGCGCGGGUUACGGGUCCGGAGGCGGGUCUGGCUGGGGCAAGCACCACUGA